GAUAAGGUAGACUAAAUAUAAGCCAGUGGACUCAUAACCCAUCUAUGGGAGACUUCCCCCUUAUUA
Molecule: transfer RNA, 66 nt
Filed under: Polydora hoplura
Lineage: Eukaryota; Metazoa; Annelida; Polychaeta; Spionida; Spionidae
Description: tRNA-Met
Source: RNAcentral